GAAUAGGAUUUUUUAAAAUCCAUUUAUAUUUUAUAGAUGCUUAUUU
Loxodonta africana (African savanna elephant) is the source of this 46-nucleotide non-coding RNA. NCBI's taxonomy places the organism in Eukaryota, Metazoa, Chordata, Mammalia, Proboscidea, Elephantidae. The record is from Rfam.